AUUUGGCUACGCCCACCACGGAAGUCUGUCACCGAGGAGAGCGAUGCUGAGCUAUGGAGAGCGGCAUUGUUUGUAAGAUGAUUCUUCACUAGAGGUUACAUUGAAGUCAGGCAAUGACAGGAAGGAUGGCUGGGGAUUCCAAGAUCUGAUAAAGAAAAGUUACAUGAAGAUACUUGGACUACUCAUGGGACCAAAGAGCUAUUACACCAACUCCAGUCUGGAUCCUGUCUCUAUCAGAUGACCCUACACAUAAGGAAAGUUGACAUCGGCCAUCACAAGGACUUCAAAACUGUUCAAAGCGCUAUACAAAUAAAUGUGAACAAAAUUGAAUUGUUUGAAGUCAACAGCAGAGAUGAGGAUGCCACACAAUGCAUCCUCUCCACAACAGAUCUUGCAUUACAAAGUGAUAUUGACAUCUUUCUUGGCCUCUCUGAUUACAAUCCUCCCAAUCAUUCCUGCAACACAAGAAGCACACAUUACUUUUAUGUCACAAAUCACAGUUUGUCAUUAAAGUCUGGUCUACCUGCUACUUUUAAAAGAUCUUCGUAUCAAAAUGUCUUAAAUACUGGAUUUUAUUAAUUAAUUUUGUUUAGUUACCAAUAUAUUUAUUUACAUUUACACAUUUUUUCAUAUUCAUUCAUUUUAUCCUAAACUAUUUUGCUUGUUGUUUCAUUACUGCAGAUUAUUUAUGUUGGGUGACGCAUUGUCUUCAUAAGUAGAUAUAGGUAUAUCAGUGGUCUUCUCCGGCUAAAGAUUUUUGAUAAUUUCAUAAGACAAAGUAGCAUUGUGUAAUACUUUAUAUGUUGUUUAAAAUAUGGGUAACACUUUACAAUAAGGUUCAUUAGUUAACAUUAGUUAACUACAUUAAUUAAUGUGAACUAAUAAUCAACUGCACUUAUACAGCAUUUAUUCAUCUUUGUUAAUGUUAAUUUCAACAAUAACUAAUACUUUUAUUAAAAUUUUGUUAAUGUUAGUUAAGGCACUGUGAACUAACAUGAACAAGCAAAUAAAGCUUUAUUUAUAUUAACUAACGUUAACAAAGAUUAAUAAAUACUGUAACAAAUGUAUUGCUCAUGGUUUGUUCAUGUUAGUUAAUACAUUAACUAAUAUUAACUAAUGAACCUUAUUGUAAAGUGUUACCAGUGCAGCUAAGAUUAUUCAAUAAACCAUUUUUAUUUUAUUCUUUAUCAUUUUGUCCCCUGCCUGAUGCUCUCAUCUCUGUCUACCUUGUGGUUGAGUAAAAGCAUUAACUCACCACAGAGUUGUCUAUCUUUAAGCAAUGGACAAAGUCAUUUUCCUGACUAAGAGAGGUCUAGUGAAACUAAGAACUAGUGAACUGGUCUUGCUCCUUGUAUCGGUUUAAUCUAACAUGUUUGGCAUAGUCAUAUUUGGAUCUAUCAAUGUCAUUAAAUACCCACCUGAUCUUA
This is a non-coding RNA of Misgurnus anguillicaudatus (oriental weatherfish), 1427 nucleotides long. The record is from RefSeq and is a predicted model, not a curated record. Lineage: Eukaryota; Metazoa; Chordata; Actinopteri; Cypriniformes; Cobitidae.